Populus euphratica (Euphrates poplar) is the source of this 1151-nucleotide long non-coding RNA. RefSeq lists it as uncharacterized. NCBI's taxonomy places the organism in Eukaryota, Viridiplantae, Streptophyta, Magnoliopsida, Malpighiales, Salicaceae. The transcript has 3 exons. The record is from RefSeq and is a predicted model, not a curated record.
ACUCUUAAGGGAUUAUUUUAGGGACUCCUAUUGUCGAACUUGAAAGAAAACAACUUCUGCCAAUUCUCUACACUUCUCCGUCGAUCUUGAUCUCUUGGUCUAUAACUUGUUUAAGAAUACAGAUUCCCACUUCUGUAUCUCAAUUACUGUGCCCUGAUAAGAUACUUCUCAUGUGUGAAGAGAUUAAGUCAGGUUCAAGAAGAACCCUUUUCCCCUUGUGGUUGUGUGGUUGUCAUGUAAAUUCUCUCAAGAAUUCUUGUCAGUACUUUCAUCGUGGCUUGUGUUUGGGCUGUAUUCAGCAGCUGUGGUAAUUCUAUUACUUGGUAGGAUUAAACGACAAACUGCAAAAGGAGAGAUUUUUGUGGUGUCAUGGAUCCAAAACUGACUACAGGAGGUUAACAAGUCAAGAUUCAAGAAGGUUUUCUUAUCAGUUAAACCUCAUGCUGUUCCUUGAUUGCUGUCAAAUUCGAUGCCUGCUGCUUCCAAGCCUUUAAAGCUGAAAUUUAAGCUAGAAUUCAGAGCUGGAGCUCUAGUUACUUCUAUUUUGUGUGGCAUCCCUGUUGUAUAGCAUUCAAAAUUUGUAUGCUUACAAAGAAUAUAAGCAAAGAAAUUGAGGAAAUGGUUAACAACUUCUUAUGAAAAGGAGAGGGCACUACAGUCUGCAUCGAUAGGAGCACGAGUUUCUGCCUUUUUAUGCAUAUGAAUUGGUCCUGAGAGCCGAUGGUAUCAACAGCAUUAGACGUAUGAUGCAAAUUCUAGUGAUCAAGACUGGAGCAUCCAGAGCAGAAUUAAGCAGAAGGAAUUGACUGAAUCUAACAACGUGUAUAGGGUUGAUAAAGCCAAGGAUUUUGCUGAAUCAAAUUCGUACUCUGUGUAGGCUAAAGUUCCAGCCAUUUGCGCUGGAAAGAGGGCAGUUGAUAUCCAAUAAUUGAUGUCAAUUUUAUUGGAUCAUCAUUCAAGUGGCAGUAAUAGCUGAUGUUUUCCUUAUCUGUUAGCUAUUAGCAGGAGUCUAAUUAUUAGUAACUGUUGCUUUGUAAAACUAUAUAUAGAAAAUUAAUAGUUCCAGUGGGAUGUGUUGUAAUGAAAACCUAUUUGUUAUUUGGUGUGAUCUGGGAGUGAUUUUGUUGAGUGGAAUGAGGUUUCUUGUUUCU